GAUGAACGCUGGCGGCGUGCUUAACACAUGCAAGUCGAACGGUGAAGCAGAGCUUGCUCUGUGGAUCAGUGGCGGACGGGUGAGUAACACGAGAGCAACCUGCACCUGACUCUGGGAUAAGCGCUGGAAACGGCGACGAAUACUGAAUAUGAGCUGCGACCGCAUGGUCCGCAGUUGGAAAGAUUUUUCGGUCUGGGAUGUGCUCGCGGCCUAUCAGCUUGUUGGUGAGGUAAUGGCUCACCAAGGCGUGGACGGGUAGCCGGCCUGAGAGGGUGACAGGCCCCACUGGGACUGAGACACGGGCCAGAGUCCUACGGCAGGCAGCAGCGGGGAACAUUGGACAAUGGGCGAAAGCCUGAUGCAGCACCGCCGCGUGAGGGAUGACGGUCUUCGGGUUGUAAACCUCUUUUAGCAGGGAAGAAGCGAAAGUGACGGUACCUGAAGAAAAAGCGCCGGCUAACUACGUG
RNAcentral lists this ribosomal RNA (467 nucleotides) under uncultured bacterium. RNAcentral's name for it is "partial 16S ribosomal RNA". It matches the Rfam family "Bacterial small subunit ribosomal RNA", at positions 28 to 507 of the family's 1533-position model. The record is from RNAcentral.